RNAcentral lists this ribosomal RNA (468 nucleotides) under uncultured bacterium. RNAcentral describes it as "bacterial SSU rRNA". It matches the Rfam family "Bacterial small subunit ribosomal RNA", at positions 27 to 507 of the family's 1533-position model. The record is from RNAcentral.
GGACGAACGCUGGCGGCGUGCCUAACACAUGCAAGUCGAGCGGAGACAGUGAGUAGCUUGCUAUGAGCUGUUUUAGCGGCGGACGGGUGAGUAACGCGUGAGCAACUUUCCCAGACAGGGGAAUAACACACCGAAAGGUGUACUAAUACCGCAUAAGACCACGGGAUCACAUGGUUCUGGGGUAAAAGAUUUAUCGGUUUGGGGUGGACUCGCGUCCGAUUAGAUAGUUGGCGGGGUAACGGCCCACCAAGUCGACGAUCGGUAGCCGGACUGAGAGGUUGAUCGGCCACAUUGGGACUGAGACACGGCCCAGACUCCUACGGGAGGCAGCAGUGAGGGAUAUUGGGCAAUGGGGGAAACCCUGACCCAGCAACGCCGCGUGAGGGAUGACGAUUUUCGGAUUGUAAACCUCUGUCCUCUGUGAAGAUAGUGACGGUAGCAGAGGAGGAAGCUCCGGCUAACUACGUG